AUACCUCAAGUAAAAUAAUCCAAAAUAUUAUUCUGUAUUCCUUCUCGAGAAACUGGCUUCUUCUUCAAUUAAAAAAAAAUCAUAUUUCUUAUUCAGUUGGAGCGUUCGCAAUAGUAGAACUUUCUUCAGGAUUAUUUGUAGAGAUGUGCGGACUUUCUUUAUCUACAGAUUAAUAGGCUGAAACACCAACACCAUGAUUUUCAGACCCUGCCAACUCUAUAAUUCUAUAAGAUCCAAUACCUGCUAGAUUGUUCCACAACACCAAUGUCCAAGUCAAUACCAUAUAUUAUCCACUGAAAUGUCUGAUUUAAUAUCAUAUGCAAAAACAUUAGAGCAAUGUGCUCUCCUUUACCCAUAUUGUGUACCACAGAACAUUAUGAACAUUAGGGGAGGAUUAGCCUGCAGCUAUUUUAGAUCGUGCACCAAAUACUUGUAGUUUUCCUAAAUUAGGGAGAAGAACAAGGUUGAAAUCCGCAAGAGUCGUAUAGAAAUUUCUGCAAUCAAUAUCAUACCUGAUCCAUGUCGGCAGCCUCUAAAUAAGCAACAUAAGUCCACAAUCCAUAAGUAUGUAGGCUACGCUCCAAUUUGAUGUAUCAUGCAAUUUUGCAAUACUCGGAUAGUUUUGUAAAGCAUACAGAUACUGCAUUGGAGGGCUAUAAGCUUCAAUAAUCUGAAAAUAUGUAGACCGCAGCUGAGAUCGUAACUUAGUAACACAACACAUGGUAUGAUAGCUAAAGGAGAGGCUAUCAAUUGUCAUUUUUUUGCACUGAUGUGCCAGUAGAAAAACACCAUUGAUUCGAUUUGAUGUGUGAAGUCACCUGUCGACUCGACUUGCCAUUGAUUCUGCGCCUAUUCCCUGGCUUCCUGAAAUAAAAUUUCCCAGCGUCGG
RNAcentral lists this long non-coding RNA (889 nucleotides) under Triticum aestivum (bread wheat). RNAcentral describes it as "long non-coding RNA (TAES_LNC011513)". The record is from RNAcentral. Lineage: Eukaryota; Viridiplantae; Streptophyta; Magnoliopsida; Poales; Poaceae.